RNAcentral lists this ribosomal RNA (459 nucleotides) under uncultured bacterium. Its description in RNAcentral is "partial 16S ribosomal RNA". It matches the Rfam family "Bacterial small subunit ribosomal RNA", at positions 338 to 795 of the family's 1533-position model. The record is from RNAcentral.
CCUACGGGUGGCAGCAGUGAGGAAUAUUGGUCAAUGGCCGGGAGGCUGAACCAGCCAAGUCGCGUGAGGGAAGACGGCCCUACGGGUUGUAAACCUCUUUUGUCAGGGAGCAAGGUGCAGGUCGGGACCCGCUGCGAGAGUACUUGAAGAAAAAGCAUCGGCUAACUCCGUGCCAGCAGCCGCGGUAAUACGGAGGAUGCGAGCGUUAUCCGGAUUUAUUGGGUUUAAAGGGUGCGUAGGCGGAGGCACAAGUCAGCGGUAAAAUCGCGGGGCUCAACCCCGGUGCGCCGUUGAAACUGUGUGCCUUGAGUGCGCGAAGGGUAGGCGGAAUGCGUGGUGUAGCGGUGAAAUGCAUAGAUAUUGCGCAGAACUCCGAUCGCGAAGGCAGCAUACCGGCGGGGAACUGACGCUCAUGCACGAAAGCGUGGGUAUCGAACAGGAUUAGAUACCCGAGUAGUC